AUCCUCCAGAUCCGAUACUCAUCAUAUCUGAACAUUAAUCUGAGUGGCUAUAAAAGGAGAAAAAGUAAAACUGAAUAUGACUUGGAUUCUUUUGGGAGAUACGGGGGUCCCCAAUACUCAAACAGGU
Molecule: small nucleolar RNA, 127 nt
Filed under: Echinops telfairi (small Madagascar hedgehog)
Lineage: Eukaryota; Metazoa; Chordata; Mammalia; Afrosoricida; Tenrecidae
Description: Small nucleolar RNA SNORA61 (ENSETEG00000026345.1)
Source: RNAcentral